AUGAAGGCUCCAGACCCAGAGUCCAGCAGUGCUCUGCCAGUUCUGGAGGGGAGGCAGAACCUUUGGCCCACGGUCUCAGGUUCCUUUAACCAAAGACCAUCUUUGAAGAUACAGAAUGCAGGAACCUCUUCACCUGACAGAUGCAGUACUUGGACACAAGGUCUCAGGUCUCGUGGCAACAGAAUGCUGUCUAUGAAGUCUCCUCGUCACAGAAAGCCAGUGCACCGUAAAGUAGAGCAAUUUAGAGUUGAGUCUUUCACAGCCUCUGGAUUUACAGCAGACUUGAAAUCAACAAAAGAUCUAAAGUGUGGAGCUCCACGGAGCAGGAGGACGGUUUGGGUUGUCAUAUGAGGCUUUGUGCUCCUAUUUGAUGCAGUCUUCGAGGCAGAGGUCGUAUUAUGACAUACUCUGGGUGCCCAAAAUUGUGAGAACAGCCAGUUCUGUUUGAAUGAGCCUGAACAGGUGAGCCUAGCUGAAAGCUCUCCUCUCCUAUUGAUUCCACCCAUUAAAUCCACUCUAGUCAUGCAGGAGAGAUGUGGAUUAGGAGGAUUAGAGAAGGCAAAGAGGGGUGUUUGAGCUCUGACAUAGGUGAGACUGUAACCGCAGACGUCUGUGCCCCAGUUCUGACUCUGCAGGAGCAACAAAAAGAUGCUCAGCCGGUACAAGAGGAGGUGAGACAACAGUCGGCUGUGAUCCCUGAAGCGCUGAGGACGGGCAGCUACAAAACGGAAAAAGCAAGAGGCUCCUGACUUCAUCAACUCACUACUUUAUAUCCUUAUAUAAAAGUUUAAACAUGGAGGAAUGUUUUGAAGAGUAAUAAUAAGGUGACGAGAGCACUCAGGACACGCACGCACGCACGCGCACACGCACGCACGCACACACACACGCACACACACACACACACACACACACACACACACACACACACUGGAGACGACAUCCAGGUCAAAGUCGUGUGCAGUACAACUGUCUGCUUUUUUGGCUCAGCUGUGACACGACAAAUUCACUGGAUGUUCUGAGACUUAAGGCUUCAGUUUAUCACUACCUUUGUUCUGAUGGGGAUUCAAUCUUACGACCUUUAGAUUUCAUGCUACAACAGGAAGCUAUCGCUUCCAUCCAGAGGAUCCAGUACAGAUCAAAACAAUGACUUCCUACAGUCACAAGAUGUCGCUGUUUCUCAGUGGACUCAACUGGACAUCGUUCACAGCAAAUCGAAAAGAAGCCUGUGAAGCUACAAAGGCUUCGGAGAUGAGAGGAAGAGAAACCUAAACUAAAACAGCACCUUUGUACAAUUCUCAGAAAGUCCAAUAAUGUUUGUGCCCGUCUUGUCUUGUACUGUCAGCUGUUUCAGUAGAAACAUUUAAACUUGAAAUAGAAUGUCAUGUUUUCCUUUUGUUGUUACAAUUGUUAUUUGCUGCUAUGGAGCUGGAGAAAAUCAAACCGUUCUUUAAAUCAUAAUUACAACUGGAAUACGGUGAAUGACUUGAAUGAUUGCCGCCUGAUAAAACAGCAGAGCACAAAGCAGUCGGAGCCCAUUUAAUAUUCUUUGCAUGACGCAUGUAGUAACUCAGAUGUGUGGACUUCACAUGUAGGUGCUCACAUGGCUGCUUUCAUUACUGUACGAUGACUGUUAUAUUGAACUUUACAGUCUCUCAAGCUGCUUUUCAUUCGGGGUAUUUAGGUCAAUGGCACAUGUACUGGUUAAAGUGGUUUGGUUUCAUUCCCCUGGCAGAUGUGACCACCUGUUCGUGUCUAAAUUACUAAAUAUAAAGAACGUUACUGAGCUGUAACAGAUUUUACACAUUUAUGUUUUAGGACAAAACCUACAUUCAGCAGCUACAUGAUCUCAAAGCCAGUUUUUAGCUUUGACUUCCUGUUCAUGGCCUAAAUAACGUCAUCCUGUAAGAAACUCUUCACAAACAGCAGCAAACGUGUAUCAGGCACCAGGUAGUGACAGGAUGACUGCACGUUAAUGAAUAAAUGAACAGGUUAAAUCA
This 1997-nucleotide long non-coding RNA is filed under the name Betta splendens (Siamese fighting fish). RNAcentral's name for it is "lncRNA (ENSBSLG00000008120.1)". The record is from RNAcentral. Lineage: Eukaryota; Metazoa; Chordata; Actinopteri; Anabantiformes; Osphronemidae.